This 524-nucleotide ribosomal RNA is filed under the name uncultured bacterium. RNAcentral describes it as "bacterial SSU rRNA". It matches the Rfam family "Bacterial small subunit ribosomal RNA", at positions 777 to 1301 of the family's 1533-position model. The record is from RNAcentral.
AAUAGAUACCCUGGUAGUCCACGCUGUAAACGUUGGACACUAGGUGUGGCGGUCUGAUCAACGACUGCCGUGCCGAAGCUAACGCAUUAAGUGUCCCGCCUGGGGAGUACGGCCGCAAGGCUAAAACUCAAAGGAAUUGACGGGUCCCCGCACAAGCGGCGGAGCAUGCGGCUUAAUUCGAUGCAACCCGAAGAACCUUACCUGGGUUUGACAUCAUGGGAAAAGCCGUGGAAACACGGUGUCCGAAAGGGCCCAUGACAGGUGGUGCAUGGCUGUCGUCAGCUCGUGUCGUGAGAUGUUGGGUUAAGUCCCGCAACGAGCGCAACCCUUGUCCUAUGUUGCCAGCGGUUCGGCCGGGGACUCAUAGGAGACUGCCGGGGAUAACUCGGAGGAAGGUGAGGACGAUGUCAAGUCAUCAUGCCCCUUAUAUCCAGGGCUGCACGCAUGCUACAAUGGUCGGUACAACGGGCAGCGAUCCUGCGAAGGUGAGCGAAUCCCACAAAGCCGGCCUCAGUUCGGAUUGG